This 253-nucleotide ribosomal RNA is filed under the name uncultured prokaryote. RNAcentral describes it as "partial 16S ribosomal RNA". It matches the Rfam family "Bacterial small subunit ribosomal RNA", at positions 525 to 777 of the family's 1533-position model. The record is from RNAcentral.
ACGUAGGGUGCAAGCGUUGUUCGGAUUUACUGGGCGUAAAGGGUGCGUAGGUGGUUUGGUAAGUCGGGUGUGAAAUCCUGCAGCUCAACUGCAGAACUGCAUUCGAAACUGCCAAGCUAGAGUACUGGAGAGGAGAUCGGAAUUCUCGGUGUAGCAGUGAAAUGCGUAGAUAUCGAGAGGAACACCGGUGGCGAAGGCGGCAUCCUGGACCAAUACUGACGCUGAGGAGCGAAAGCCAGGGGAGCAAACGGGA